CGAAUGAUGCCAAGCAGUUCUGCUCAGAGAUGGGGUGAGUGAUAUCCGGAGCUUUGCUAGAAGUGCGGCCAAAAUUCCGCCGAAACGAGGAACUGAUUUCGAAACCUCUUUGGCAGCUCUAACGCCCAUAUUACAAACUGGCAGGGAUUGAAGUGGCACUAGGUUCAUAAUAAGGCCUUAUACUCAGCAAUGCGGUGGAUGUUCAUGCAUGUAAGUUGGUCAAACGUAUCAGCAGCAGUUUGGAGCAAAGACUACAGCAGUAUUUGGGAGAACAUCUUACUUCAGCACAACAGGGAGAACAUCUUACUUCAGCAUAACAACCACAAAGAAAAAAAAUGAAAUAAAAAGGUAUUGAAGACGAGAGCAUUCAUAGCAACCACAUCACCAAGCCCCACAACGCCCAUAGAUAUGGAUAAAAAACACUGUUGCCUCUUUAUCUCUGCUGCCCUAGGUAGUACAGGAAGUCACAACCUAUCAAGAUGAAGCAAAAUUGCCUGUUGGAAAAAAUAUUACCAAAGAGGAAAUACAUCCCAGGAUUGCUCCUGCUAACAUCCUGUUAAGCAAUUGUUAUUCUACAUUCCAUGCUGUUAGCAUUUUGGAAAAACGUAAUAGCUAAAGCAGACAGACAAGGAAGUUGUGAAGGCUUUCAAAAGUUCACCACAUUUUCCAAUUUCUAACACAUUACUUCAUUAACAAGACCGGAAUUUUACUCCAUUAUUAUCCUUAUUAGGUAAUUGAACCAGAUCAACUGGCUUAAUUACCUAAUCAUAAAAUUUGGCUUAAUUUCAUUCAAAACAUUAUAGGUCUGAGAACACUGAAUAAACUCAAUAUGAAAAAACAUUUUUCUUUAGUUGAUUUGUGUCUAAACAUGAUAUCUACUAUUAGUGAACAUUUUUCUUUAGCUGAUUUGUUGAAACAUGUUAAAAGAAUGUUCGCUAAUAGUAGAUAUCAUGUCUUCAACAAUUUAAAUUCAUGCCUAACACACAAAACAUUUAUGAAGAAUGUCUCAAUUGUUAAUAUUUAUUAUUCAAAUCUGCCAUCUAUAAAAGAUGAUAAGCUUUACAAACACUACAAAAUUACUAACUAGAAUGGCAACAUAUGACCUGAUUGCAACACUGGUUUCUACUUUAUCAGCAUCUUCAUUUGCGUUAAUGCCAACACAAGAAGGGAUCUAACAUAU
Molecule: long non-coding RNA, 1180 nt
Organism: Macrobrachium nipponense
Lineage: Eukaryota; Metazoa; Arthropoda; Malacostraca; Decapoda; Palaemonidae
Exons: 3
Source: RefSeq, a predicted model, not a curated record